RNAcentral lists this ribosomal RNA (253 nucleotides) under uncultured bacterium. RNAcentral describes it as "partial 16S ribosomal RNA". It matches the Rfam family "Bacterial small subunit ribosomal RNA", at positions 524 to 776 of the family's 1533-position model. The record is from RNAcentral.
CACGUAGGGCGCAAGCGUUGUCCGGAAUUAUUGGGCGUAAAGAGCGUGUAGGCGGCCCGGUAAGUCCGCUGUGAAAGUCGGGGGCUCAACCCUCGAAUGCCGGUGGAUACUGUCGGGCUAGAGUGCGGAAGAGGCGAGUGGAAUUCCUGGUGUAGCGGUGAAAUGCGCAGAUAUCAGGAGGAACACCAAUUGCGAAGGCAGCUCGCUGGGACGUAACUGACGCUGAGACGCGAAAGCGUGGGGAGCAAACAGG